UCUUUCGGUCAUGUUAGUGGCAGACGGGUGCGUAACACGUGGGUGACCUGCCCUGGAGUGGGGAAUAACUAUCCUAACGGAUAGCUAAUACCGCAUAUGCUCGGUGAUUCAUUUUGCCGAGUAAAGCCGUAAGGUGCUCCAGGAUGGGCCUGCGGCGGAUUAGGUAGUUGGUGGGGUAAUGGCCUACCAAGCCGAUGAUCCGUAGGGGGCGUGAGAGCGUGGCCCCCCACACUGGCACUGAGAUACGGGCCAGACUCCUACGGGAGGCAGCAGUGAGGAAUAUUGCGCAAUGGGCGAAAGCCUGACGCAGCAACGCCGCGUGAGGGACGAAGGCCUUCGGGUUGUAAACCUCUUUUCUGGGG
This 362-nucleotide ribosomal RNA is filed under the name uncultured bacterium. Its description in RNAcentral is "bacterial SSU rRNA". It matches the Rfam family "Bacterial small subunit ribosomal RNA", at positions 79 to 443 of the family's 1533-position model. The record is from RNAcentral.